This 331-nucleotide ribosomal RNA is filed under the name uncultured eukaryote. Its description in RNAcentral is "partial 18S ribosomal RNA". It matches the Rfam family "Eukaryotic small subunit ribosomal RNA", at positions 1470 to 1796 of the family's 1831-position model. The record is from RNAcentral.
CCCUUAGAUGUCCGGGGCCGCACGCGCGCUACACUGUAGAUCGCAGCGAGUGUAGUUUCUGUCCCUCCCGUAGCCGGGUGGGUAAACAUUGAAAGAUCGAACGCGGCUUGGGAUCGGGCCUUGAGAUUAUUGCCCGUGAACGAGGAAUUCCCAGUAAGCGCGAGUCAUAAGCUGGCGUUGAUUACGUCCCUGCCCUUUGUACACACCGCCCGUCGCUACUACCGAUUGAACGAUCCGGUGAAUUAUUUGGAGUAGCUCUGGAAGUUGCAGAACUUCCUAUGUCACGAAAUUUUGUAAACCUUAUCGUUUAGAGGAAGGAAAAGUCGUAACA